GGGGGCAGAUACGGGUGAGUGUGACAGAGGCUACAGAGAGAAGGAUUUUGAAUGUUUCCAGCUCUGUAAAGAAAUUUAGCACACCACACAACUCUUCUUUCUCCAAAAGCAAUCAAAUCAACAAACAAAUACACAAGAGCGUGACUCCCCCUUAGCCACACAUGGCCACUCCAAAUGCAGAGCAGAGUGGCCCGUGGCUGGGGAAGAUGAGGUAAGACAGGGCCCUGGGGCUGUGGAGGCUGUUGGCCCCUUUCCCGGGAACCUAAGACUCUCCCAGAGCCCACAGGGUGGCGGGACAGGGGACAAAAAUUCCUAUCUAGUCUCUGUGCAUUGGAGCUGGGCGUUCUGCCAAGAACGAGUUGUCUUCUCAGGCUGCUUCUUAAACAGAAUUGGGUUCUGGGACUAGUGACCCCGGGGGACGGGUGACCAGAACAUAGACCGGCUCUUGAGGAGUCCUAUGAGCAGAUGCAGAUUUGCCCAAAGUCAUCAAGCACUUACCGUGUGCCUGGCAGGGUCGCAAGUCCUCAGUGUGUUUUUAUCUCUUUGGACCUCCUCACCCCCACUCCGGGGACCCUUUGGCAGUGGCUGCUGCCCCGUGUUGAGCCCAAAUGGAGCUGAGACUGUAUUUGCCCGAUUUGGACUCUCUUGGUCCCCGAAUGGACACCAUGACCGCAGGGUUGCGGAUCUGGAAGGCAGGCUUUGGGGCUGCCUGGGGCUUGUAGCGCUUGACGUAUGCAGGUGAACCAGCAAAACGGUGUCCCGAGCAGGCUGCACACACUGUUAAGAAUCCUAAUGCAGGAGUGAGCGGUCUUCUUGGCGUCGGUGGCUCACUUUGAACAGGGUUUGCUGUCAGAUUCCCGAGAGGGCAAAAUGUUAUCAGGAGAUCAAUCAACACGUCCCCUCUGCUCUGGCCAAAGCAGAAAUCCCCAGUUUUGCAACAUCCUUGUUCCUUUUUCGCACGCAGGGGGAGAAGGUGGGAGCUUUGCUUAGUCUCACUCUGAUGGGAUGGGCUGUGACCGCUGGUGGUACCUGCCGUAUAAGAAAUGGCUGGGAAUGGUCAUGGAGCAUUUUCUUGAUGGUAUGAAUGACACAAGCCAAAAGACUGCCUUGGUCCACCGUCAGUCCGUUUCCGGGACACCGAUGAGCCAGACUGGGAGUCUCCAAAGUCCCUGGUUCUGAUGCUGAAUUCUGCUGGUUCCGUGGGCCACCUGCUCCUGAUUACUGGAUGCAGGGAUUCUCUCCUGUGUUCGGCUAUGAAGGCAUCUGAUAAAGCCCGGCUGCUUUACUGCCUGGCUGAUGCUGAUCUGUGGAGAGUUUUUAUUGCUUUACACAUCGGUGCUUAUCCCUCUGGGCGAUAAGAAACCAACAAGACUGUCUUGGUAGGAGGGGCCCAGAGCCACCAGCAUUGUUCUCCACCUAAACCACUGGGUGUGACAUGGGACUUGGGGUCACAGUUGGGGUCCAUGUGUUCUCUGCUUGGAGGCCAUGACCUCCUGUCCCUGGAGAUGAGGUCCUCCAGGGCAGAGGUGCAUAGAGCAUUCUGGGGCAGCUGGAAAGGGGAGGCCACUGUGUUUUUUGUCCUGGGUCUUACCCCAGUGGCUGCUGGAGAGGGGCCUUGGGGGCAAGGAGAUGUGGGGCAGGUCCUGGCCAAGUGGGAAGAAGCAAAUUCACCUCCGAGGGGCCAGCCUCACCUCUCAGCCCUUCUCCUCCCCACCUUUCCCUCCUCUCUUCCCUGCUCAUCUGGGUCUCCCUCCUCCUCCUCCUUUUUUUCUGGCCUUUGUCCAACUUUCCAGGCACGUGAUUUCUGUGUGCUCCUCACCCUGUGAUAUGCUACCCUCUGUGAUAUCAGGGCCUGUUCCCCCCAGCUCCUGUGUUCUCAAGGGGCCCCUGGACCAGCCCCACUGCCAGCUGCUCUCUCCUAGCCUGUGGGCAGGCCAUUCAUUAACGGAGAAGGCCUUCCAAGGACCCAUGGCUUCUUUGGAACUCACAACAAAACAGGUUCUGUAAGGAUUAGUGAGGCACCAGCUUUUAUGCAAUAACAGCUAAUCCCUUGUUUUCAUAACAAGGUUGGGAGAAUCUGUUUCUUGUUUCUCCAGCUUGUUUGUUGAUUCUAAAUAGCUGCAGUGCCCGUGGCAGGGAUGGUUAAACUCCAUCCAUGACUCAUUGGUACCCCUGUCUCUGCCUCACAGGUGUCACUGCUGUCCUUGGAGCUGGCCGUCCUCUGAUCACUCAGCUGUCCUCAGUCCUGGAUGCAUGUGGAAAUCACCAGGAGCUUAAAAAAUUACUGAUGUCUAGUCCCGCCCCGAGGCUUCUGAUUUAAGUGGUUUGGAUGGUGGCCUGGGCAUUGAGAUUUUUUAAAUAUCUCCUGGUACUUCUCAUAUGCAACCAUGAAGAAAACCAUUGCUUUCUGUGAAUUCAGGAAAGACUGAAGGCACACACCGAAACACAUCUCAGUAGAAGUCUUCAGCGUGAAGUUUCCACCUCAGUGAUCUGAACCUUCAAUGUACACGUUUAGGCUGAGAGGCAAUUGUGAAUCCAGACAUAUUCACGGCUACACUUCAGAAGACAGUAGGAGCCCCAUGCACCCAUCUUGGCAAUCUGAGUUUGAGAAGUUCUUCAUCUGACUUUCCAAAAGACUACAGGAAAGGCUCACUUGGAGGAAUACAGUGGAGACGUCCGGCAUCUGGACAUUCCUUCUGCGUGAUGGCACACAUCUGGCUCUUUGGAAUGAGCAGGACGUUUCCUUUCCAGUUUCCCUCCAGAUGUCUGAGGAUGUGAAGAUACAGCCCAAGAGAUGUCCACGGAAAUGCCACAUAAAGCAAGACGCUGUGCACUUAGGGAUUCUUGCAGUUUUGGGUGCAAUGUCUGAAACGAAGGAGGUUAAGAUCCUCAGCCAUGAAGAAUCCAGCACGUAUAUCUUUAGGGGACAGCAAAACAAACAAACAAACAAAUCACCCCGGAGACAUGUCUGUUUCAUCAGUCAAGGACGCCUGUGGACACUAGGCGAGGGCCAAACCAAAUGCCUGCGCUCGGAAAAUACCCACUGGGCUGAGGAGGGGCAAGGGAGGAGGUGGUCAAGGAUAGCCUGGCGGCCUCCCUCCAAAACCCCAGCUUGGAAAUGCUUUGUUACAGGCAAGUGUCGGUGGCUUAGGUUCGAGUGGGUGAAACCUGGACCAAGAAGGUGGUCCUGCCGAGUGGAGGAGAUGAAAAUGUGCUGGUGCUCAGGCAAUUUCAGGGUUCUGGAGUAUUUUCUUUUAGUGCGUGCUAUUAGAAGAACUCCUGGCUGUAAGGGGCUGUGCAGAUAGGCAGAGAGCACCCUGGCUCGGCUCUCCAGGUUUUGUGCUCAGCCUUGCUGUUAACUCCCUGCAACGUGGGGGACUCACUCCACCUUCCGAGUCUGAGUCUCCGUUUCUCCUUAUCUUCUUCGGCAGAUUCCCUUUGCAAGAGGAAUUCCUGGCAGAGUUCUGCUUCUUUCCCCUCCUCCUUCUCCUUUGUCUGUAACCAUGUUCCUGCUGAAUAAAUCCGUCCCCAUAUCCUCACGGACACAGGCCUGAAACCCCUCGAGAUGUACUAACGGCAGGCAGAGUGUGUGUUUGGGGAGGGGGUGGCUGGGUAACGCUGCUGCGUGUGGAUUGCAAGGGGGACAAAAAACCGUGCAGACAGAUGCUUUUCUCUUUCUGUUCUUCUCUGGUGGAGGUUUCCCCCAGGCUUGGCCUGGUUGGAGCAGAGCUGAGCAUCAGGACAUUCUGAGUUCAGAAGGCAAGAAAGAAAAUGCAAUCGGCAAGGAUUUUCUCUUGCUCACGCCCCAUCCUGAGUGCGGCCUGGUGGCGGGGACUGUGGUCUGAAGCAGCGCUUCCCAAAGUGUGCCCCAUCCCCUCCACCUGGUUAGCAGCCAACAUUGCCCAGAUUCAGAUUCAGGGAAGGAGUGUGGAUACAGCCGGGGUGGGGGGCAUUCUCAGUCUUGGUUCACUUCCCAGUGGAUUCUUGCUGUGUUUCUCAAUCACUUUUUUCAUUAUCACCUCCCUUAGGAGAAAAAUUAGCUUCGAUUAAAGUUCUGCCUGUUGAAGGAAAUGAAAUACUGAGAAGUAAGCUUUUGAUGGGUAGCAUUCACCUUUGGAAAGCCACAAACCGUGAUAAUAUCUGUGGUUUUUGGCCCCAGAGAAUUAAUUUGUGCCCCAUUAGGGGUGAUGUCUCCCACCUUGAGAGGGCAUGCUUUGGAGGUCCAAGCAGGUGUUUCAACAAAAUUGCCUGGUUUCCAGAGGCCAUACCUGGCGUCUCCUUCUUCUUUUCCUGGGACAGAUGGGAAACUGUCCCAGGAAAAGAAACUCAUUCCUAAUUUGCUUAGAACCUGAUCAGGUUUGUGAUAGAGAUAACAGAUAGAAGAAUUAUUAAUGUAUGGAGGGGAUUUGGAAUAGGUUUUAAGAGGAAGGGUUCACAUUUUAGUUCUGCUUGUUGUUGGCUAGUUAACCUUAGGCAAGUUAUGUAACCUUCCUGGGCUUCACUUUCUCAAUCUGUAAAUUGGAAAUAGUAUGACCUCACCGGGUUUUUGUGACUAUUUAAUGAUAAAGUACAUGACAUGUGCUUAAGAGAGUGCCUGGCACCUAUUUAGCUUUUAUUGGAGUCCCCAUUUGUUCAUUUUCAUGAUUAAUUUUUAAUCUGAUUACCUAAUUUCAGGCAUGUGAAGUGAUAAUAAGCAAGUGUUCCCAAAUAACACUUUUAUGU
Long non-coding RNA from Neofelis nebulosa (Clouded leopard), 4722 nucleotides. RefSeq lists it as uncharacterized. Lineage: Eukaryota; Metazoa; Chordata; Mammalia; Carnivora; Felidae. The transcript has 4 exons. The record is from RefSeq and is a predicted model, not a curated record.